CCAACGGGUCAGCAAGUGAAUGGAUGGAAGCAACAGCUGCAGCAUAUGUGAAGGUGGAACCACGAAGGAACGACUUUAAAUCUAACGGUGACACGAUGCAUCACUGUGCUAUUAGACUUUGGGGUAAGCAAAGCACCCGUAAAAGCCCAGCAGCAGAAGACGAUAAAGCUGCUAGCUUCACCAAUGGCCCGCCACAAACUGACACAUUGUGCGGCAGCAAACCACCAUGCUUCAUCAAUGGUUUUAUCAGUCAUGGAUGUAAAGAUGGGAGCACUAAUACAUCGCCUUUGAAAGUCAAAAAGAAAAAACGAAAAUGUUGCAGGACCGGUGAAGGCGGUGAUCCAAAUGGAUUCUCAGCCAAUGGAACCACAGAGGACGAGAAAAUGCUGCCACAUCCAAAUUUACCAUCAGCACGCAUAAAACAAAGGGCGUCAAAGAAAUUGAAAGACAAGAUGUGGAAAGCUUGCAAGGAGUUUCAAGAAAAUUCCACUCUUGUGCAAGAAGAGGAAAACUGGGAAAGUGAAAUCCAAGAUGUCAUCAUCCCUGACUGGAAGAAAAUGCAUUUUGGAGAUUCACCAUAUGUUCCAGACGAUCUGCUCCAUUUUUCCAUGCGAGGUUUGACGCUGAACCCCCAGGAUUUGAUCUUUCAGAAAGUCGGUUAUCGGCCAGCAAAGCACCACCCUGACCCCAUUCAUUGGCAUUAUUACAGCAGGUCUAGUGAGCCAGGACAGUUUGCUGAUGCACAGGAAGAGUAAGCACAUUUUUGAUUAUUGUGUAAAGUGGUUAGUUGACCUUUAACAAUCAUCAAAAGUCACAGAUCAAAGCAAAAGGGUUUUUGUAGUUUGGAGUUUUUUAGUUUGUUUUCCAAUCGUGUUUUUCCAAUCUGCUUUAGUCGACAGCUACACCUCAGCAGGCAUUUCUCCUGUCUGUCCUGUGUAUCGAGUUUCCUGGAAUUAUGAACAGCUCAGUUUUAAAAAAGUUCUUUAGCAUUUUGCUGUUUUAUGUUUUAUGACAAAUUUUAUUGCCUAGAAAUUUUUACCAGUUUAAGGCAACCAAAAAAAACCCAAACACCUUAAUAUAUUGUUUACAAAGCUGAUUUCACUCGUUAGCCAGUCGUUUGUGCCCUUUUUGUUUGCACAUCAACAAUAAAAGCACUUUUUACCAACC
Molecule: long non-coding RNA, 1167 nt
Filed under: Gouania willdenowi (blunt-snouted clingfish)
Lineage: Eukaryota; Metazoa; Chordata; Actinopteri; Blenniiformes; Gobiesocidae
Description: lncRNA (ENSGWIG00000011545.1)
Source: RNAcentral